GAGUGGCGUAAGGGUGCGUAACACGUAUGCAAUCUACCCGCAACAGGAGGAUAGCUCCCCGAAAGGGGAAUUAACCCUCCAUGAGAUCACACGAGGGCAUCUGAGGGUGAUUAAAUCUGGAGGUUGCGGAUGAGCAUGCGUCUGAUUAGCUAGUUGGCAGUGUAACGGACUACCAAGGCGAUGAUCAGUAGGGGAACUGAGAGGUUGAUCCCCCACACUGGCACUGAGAUACGGGCCAGACUCCUACGGGAGGCAGCAGUAGGGAAUAUUGGUCAAUGGGUGAGAGCCUGAACCAGCCAUGCCGCGUGCAGGAAGAAGGCCUUCUGGGUUGUAAACUGCUUUUGCCGGGGGAUAAAAGACCCUUGCGAGGGAAAUUGAAGGUACCUGGUGAAUAAGCCACGGCUAACUACGUGCCAGCAGCCGCGGUAAUACAGAGGGGGCUAGCGUUAUUCGGAAUUAUUGGGCGUAAAGGGCGCGUAGGCGGCCUUGCGUGUCUUCCGUGAAAUCCCUCGGCUUAACUGAGGACGUGCGGAAGAAACUGCAGGGCUUGAGUCCGGGAGAGGGGGUGGAAUUCCCAGUGUAGCGGUGAAAUGCGUAGAUAUUGGGAGGAACACCGGUGGCGAAGGCGGCCCCCUGGACCGGUAC
This 645-nucleotide ribosomal RNA is filed under the name uncultured bacterium. RNAcentral describes it as "bacterial SSU rRNA". It matches the Rfam family "Bacterial small subunit ribosomal RNA", at positions 93 to 740 of the family's 1533-position model. The record is from RNAcentral.